GUGUAUGGCCAUGCCACCUUGAGCAAGGCCGAACCUGUCAGAUCUUGGAUGAUAUGCAGUGUCGGGCCUGGUUAGUACUUCGAUAGGAGACCACCUAGGAAAACCAGGUGCUGCAGGCC
This is a ribosomal RNA of Pteropus vampyrus (large flying fox), 119 nucleotides long. The record is from Ensembl. Lineage: Eukaryota; Metazoa; Chordata; Mammalia; Chiroptera; Pteropodidae.